This 301-nucleotide small RNA is filed under the name Otolemur garnettii (small-eared galago). RNAcentral describes it as "Metazoan signal recognition particle RNA (ENSOGAG00000033930.1)". The record is from RNAcentral. Lineage: Eukaryota; Metazoa; Chordata; Mammalia; Primates; Galagidae.
GUUGGAGGUUGCUGUGAGCGUGAUGCCAUGGCACUCUACCCAGGGGGAUAGCUUGAGGCUCCGUCUCAAAAAAAAAAAAAAAGAAAUUUCCAUUCUCUGGUGAAGUUCUCCAUCUUUAUGUCCAUGUUGCCCAUGCUCCCCUACCUUUUUUUUUUUUUGAGACAGAGCCUCAAGCUGUCCCCCUGGGCUGAGUGCCGUGGCAUUACAGCUCACAGCAACCUCCAACUCCUGGGCUCAAGCGAGUCUCCUGCCUCCGCCUCCCAAGUAGCUGGGACCACAGGCGCCCGCUACAACGCCCGGC